AUCUAAGUGUCUGAUUAAAGUUAAAAAUUGUAAAUUUUUAUAAAACAGCUUAUGUUGUUCUUAGGUA
This 67-nucleotide transfer RNA is filed under the name Ciona savignyi (Pacific transparent sea squirt). RNAcentral describes it as "tRNA (ENSCSAVG00000012518.1)". Lineage: Eukaryota; Metazoa; Chordata; Ascidiacea; Phlebobranchia; Cionidae. The record is from RNAcentral.